Molecule: ribosomal RNA, 495 nt
Filed under: uncultured bacterium
Lineage: Bacteria
Description: partial 16S ribosomal RNA
Rfam family: Bacterial small subunit ribosomal RNA
Source: RNAcentral
GACGAACGCUGGCGGCGUGCCUAAUACAUGCAAGUAGAACGCUGAAGGAGGAGCUUGCUUCUCUGGAUGAGUUGCGAACGGGUGAGUAACGCGUAGGUAACCUGCCUGGUAGCGGGGGAUAACUAUUGGAAACGAUAGCUAAUACCGCAUAAGAGUAGAUGUCGCAUGACAUUUGCUUAAAAGGUGCAAUUGCAUCACUACCAGAUGGACCUGCGUUGUAUUAGCUAGUUGGUGAGGUAACGGCUCACCAAGGCAACGAUACAUAGCCGACCUGAGAGGGUGGUCGGCCACACUGGGACUGAGACACGGCCCAGACUCCUACGGGAGGCAGCAGUAGGGAAUCUUCGGCAAUGGACGGAAGUCUGACCGAGCAACGCCGCGUGGGUGAAGAAGGUUUUCGGAUCGUAAAGCUCUGUUGUAAGAGAAGAACGAGUGUGAGAGUGGAAAGUUCACACUGUGACGGUAUCUUACCAGAAAGGGACGGCUAACUACGUG